GUGCUCACCUCGGCAACACACAGACUUUACUCGGAACCAUACAGAGAAUAGCACGUCCCCCGCGGAUGGAAGAUGUAAAAAUCCAUAAAGCGUUCCAGGCACUC
This 104-nucleotide small nuclear RNA is filed under the name Mesocricetus auratus (golden hamster). The record is from RNAcentral. Lineage: Eukaryota; Metazoa; Chordata; Mammalia; Rodentia; Cricetidae.